AAUUCCGGCAAGCUCCGAGCUAAUACACGUCCGAGAGACCUCAACGGUAACUCAGAUUUGUUUUUUCCUUUUUGAAUCGUUAUUCCAAGUUGAUUUUGAAGAUGAAGAUUGUUUUGCCAUUAUUAUAAUUACUGUGGUUUGUUUUAAUUUAAGUCAUAUAUUUAUGCUACUGUUUUUGCGUUCUUGGUUUAUUUUUUGUGAUAAAUUGAGUGACUAGUGUUAGGUUAUUAGUUUAAUUUAUUUUCUUUCAUCUGUUGAAUAUUGACUAUUUAAUUAUUAUUUUAUAUUAUUUAUUAUGCAUUACUUUAGAAAAUUUAGCAUUGUCUAUUUGUUAUUUGAGAUACAGUUGACAUUCAUUUUUUAAAAUUUAUUUAUUGUGCAUUUGAUCUAGUUAUCUAGUAUUACGUUAUUUUAUGUGUUUGCUUUAAUAUUAUUCUAUUGCCAUUUAUGUUUAUCUAUUUGUGAUUUUUUGUUUGGAGUUAAUUAUAUUCAUUUUUUUUCUAAUUUCCAACAGCUAUGUUAGUUAUUAUUAUCAUUAUUAUUAUUGGUUUGAUAUUUUUACUGUCCAGUGGCCCGAUUAUAUACUUUUCAUUAAUUGUAUUUUAAUUGUCAGUGGCUCGGUUGUUAUUAUUUACUCCCUUCGUUUAAAAAAAAAUGACCUCAUUUUUUUUAGUCUGUUUAAAAAAAGAAUGAUCUCUUUCCUCUUUUAGUAACAUUUUAAUUUCAACUUUCCACGUGACAUGUUUAAGGCCACAAGAUUAAAGGACAAUUUUGUACAUUUGACAUAACUUUAAUUUAGAACCACAAGAUUCAAAAGUUUUUUUUACUUUUUUAAACUCCGUAUCAAAUCAAACUAGACCACUCUUUUUUAAACGGAGUGAGUAGUUAUUAUUAUCGUGCUAUUGUGUUGUUAUUAUUUGGGUGUUGCAUCUUAGUAUAUCGUCUUUUGUAUGUUAAAAUGGGCCAAUGAAAAAAUAUUUUCGUUAAUUUUCGAGGCCUCCCCAAUGUUAAAAGACGGAAAUUUAGUUUAUGAUUAUAUUCUUAUAUGUUAAAAUUGGCUGAUGAAGAAAUUAUCGUCGAUUUUCAAGGCCUCCUAUGUUAAUAAGACGGAUUUUUAUUUUAAGUUGUUAUUUAUAUUAUUUGAUUUAUUCAUAUUAAUUUAUUACUAACACUUUUACUUAGUGUCUUUAUAGGUAGUCGGAGUUGCUUCCCAUUGAAGCUAUUCGAAUGAAGUUCGAAUUAUACUAUUUAUUCAUUAUUUUGUAUAUAUUGACGUUAGGCAAACUUAGGUCGUUUCUUAUAUUAUUGUUUCAUUCUAUUAUUUGUGUAUAUCGCAUGUUUAUUACACUUGUAUAUUAGCUUUUUAUCUCCUCCUCAAUUUGAAAAAAAUAAAUUCAGUCGGGACCCGCAAUUGUGGAUUUCGAAGGAUGCCG
This 1433-nucleotide long non-coding RNA is filed under the name Solanum tuberosum (potato). RNAcentral's name for it is "long non-coding RNA (STUB_LNC011387)". The record is from RNAcentral. Lineage: Eukaryota; Viridiplantae; Streptophyta; Magnoliopsida; Solanales; Solanaceae.